AUCUCACCAGCCUCCUCCAUGCCAGGCUCGGGCUCUUCCUGCUCCUGGAACAAGCUCCGGACUCGGGGCAUUCGCCGCAGAUGCUGCAUCUCCGAAGCUCUCGGCUGGUAGAGAGCAGCCGCCACAUGCUCUGGGGCGGCAGGGCUGAGCUGCCAAGAGCUCCUGGCCAUGACCUUGGUGCAUGGAGUCCAGAGGGGGCUGGGGAAGACCUUCUCUUCACACUCGAGGAUGCACACCUGCAAAGAUACGGAUGGGACCGUCUAGCUGCAGAAAAACAAGCUCAGGGCUCCCACUG
This 295-nucleotide long non-coding RNA is filed under the name Homo sapiens (human). Its description in RNAcentral is "non-protein coding lnc-ZNF395-2:3". Lineage: Eukaryota; Metazoa; Chordata; Mammalia; Primates; Hominidae. The record is from RNAcentral.